Molecule: long non-coding RNA, 671 nt
Organism: Acipenser ruthenus (sterlet)
Lineage: Eukaryota; Metazoa; Chordata; Actinopteri; Acipenseriformes; Acipenseridae
Exons: 4
Source: RefSeq, a predicted model, not a curated record
UUAUUAUUUUGUUGUUUCCAGUACGGAAAAAAGGUUACACAAGUCUACAGUCUGAAGGAGCUAAAUGUAUGUGUACUAUAUAGUAUUUAAAUAUGUAUCAUGCACUUAAAACAUUACUAUAUGUGAUUUUUUUUUCUUUCUUUUUUUAAAUCAUUACCCGAAAAAGAUCCGGGUACCCGGUUCCAGAUUUUCUACCCGUGCCGACUUCUAGUUCAAAUAUGUAUAUAACAAAAGACAGACAGGCACUCCCUUAUAUCCCCAGAUAAUGAUACUCUGAGGUUUGCAUUGUGGAGGUAAAAUAAUCUUGCAACAACCACCCACCAAGCAGGAACAUCAAGCUGUUACAGGGUCAUUCUGUGCAGUCUACAGGUAACCAGAGUCAGAUAUGUAGAUAGCCAAGAACCUUGGAGUAACCCUGGACCCCCUGCCUCUCCUACUCCAAGCACAUCUCCACUGCCGAUUCUUCCUGAGCAACAUACAAAGAAUCCGACCCUUCCUCACCAUCCACUCCACGCAACUCCUCAUCCAGGCCCUGCAGUCCGAAGAGGGACUCCUCCAGUCGGCAGGCCCGAGCAAUCUUUGCAGCCUUCUCAGAGGCGUGGACCAAAGCAGCGAUCACGUCCGACAUCCUGUCCUCAAGGCCUGUACUCCUGGAAGAACAAAAAGACAAC